Molecule: non-coding RNA, 47 nt
Organism: Methanococcus maripaludis C5
Lineage: Archaea; Methanobacteriati; Methanobacteriota; Methanococci; Methanococcales; Methanococcaceae
Source: Rfam
UCAUAUGACGAGCAACCCGAAGGUUUAGACCAGGGAAGUUCUGAUGA